CCUACGGUAGGCAGCAGUAGGGAAUUUUUCACAAUGGGGGAAACCCUGAUGCAGCGACGCCGCGUGUGGGAAGACGGUCCUCUGGAUUGUAAACCACUGUCCCCAGGGACGAAGAUGACGGUACCUGGGGAGGAAGCUCCGGCUAACUACGUGCCAGCAGCCGCGGUAAUACGUAGGGAGCAAGCGUUGUCCGGAAUUACUGGGUGUAAAGGGAGCGUAGGCGGGAUGGCAAGUUGGGUGUUAAAUCUACGGGCUCAACUGGUAGUCGCACUCAAAACUGCUAUUCUUGAGUGAAGUAGAGGCAGGCGGAAUUCCUAGUGUAGCGGUGAAAUGCGUAGAUAUUAGGAGGAACACCAGUGGCGAAGGCGGCCUGCUGGGCUUGUACUGACGCUGAGGCUCGAAAGUGUGGGGAGCAAACAGGAUUAGAUACCCGGGUAGUC
Molecule: ribosomal RNA, 440 nt
Filed under: uncultured bacterium
Lineage: Bacteria
Description: partial 16S ribosomal RNA
Rfam family: Bacterial small subunit ribosomal RNA
Source: RNAcentral